ACACACCACCACACCUCCUGUUCUCUCUGUGUUGCCAUCUGUUCGAUCAGUCUGUGUUGUAUUUCUACUGGUGUUACUGGUUCUGCUGGUGAGACGAUUUCACAAGAAACCCGAAGUAGCCAACUUCUCAUCAAUGUGUCCUGGUUUCUCAACACCUGACGCAGCUCUUGGUAAUGCGGGUGAUGCCCAAACUGAGAGUGAUUCAACUGUAAUCUACUCAACAGUGAGAACACAACCCACCAAUUACGAACAAAUAACCAUCACACCAAAGAGGACCAGAGAGCCAGACGUCGUCUACUCUACACUACCAGUCCAGCAGAAGUAGUCCACCAGUCCAACCACUGACGUCCAGGUGCUGGUCUCUGACUGGUCCCCGCAGUACCUCAAACCAGAGGACAUCCACAUGUUACA
Long non-coding RNA from Pelmatolapia mariae (spotted tilapia), 411 nucleotides. RefSeq lists it as uncharacterized. The record is from RefSeq and is a predicted model, not a curated record. The transcript has 4 exons. NCBI's taxonomy places the organism in Eukaryota, Metazoa, Chordata, Actinopteri, Cichliformes, Cichlidae.